Molecule: ribosomal RNA, 375 nt
Filed under: uncultured bacterium
Lineage: Bacteria
Description: bacterial SSU rRNA
Rfam family: Bacterial small subunit ribosomal RNA
Source: RNAcentral
UACGAAGGGGGCGAGCGUUGUUCGGAUUUACUGGGCGUAAAGGGCGCGCAGGCGGCGCAUUUUGUCAGGCGUGAAAGCCCCGGGCUUAACCUGGGAACUGCGUUUGAUACGGAUGGGCUAGAGUUCGGGAGAGGAGAGUGGAAUUCCCAGUGUAGAGGUGAAAUUCGUAGAUAUUGGGAAGAACACCGGUGGCGAAGGCGGCUCUCUGGACCGAGACUGACGCUGAGGCGCGAAAGCGUGGGGAGCAAACAGGAUUAGAUACCCUGGUAGUCCACGCUGUAAACGAUGUGUGCUAGACGUUGGGGAGCCUAGCUCUUCGGUGUCGCAGCUAACGCGGUAAGCACACCGCCUGGGGAGUACGGCCGCAAGGUUAAA